AGUCGAACGGGCUUGGGGGCUUGCUCCCGGGUUAGUGGCGAACGGGUGAGUAAUAUAUCGGAACAUAUCCGGAAGUGGGGGAUAACGUAGCGAAAGUUACGCUAAUACCGCAUAUGCCCUGAGGGGGAAAGGGGGGGAUCGCAAGACCUCUCGCUUUCGGAGUGGCCGAUACCGGAUUAGCUAGAUGGUGAGGUAAAGGCUCACCAUGGCGACGAUCCGUAGCUGGUCUGAGAGGACGACCAGCCACACUGGAACUGAGACACGGUCCAGACUCCUACGGGAGGCAGCAGUGGGGAAUUUUGGACAAUGGGCGAAAGCCUGAUCCAGCCAUACCGCGUGAGUGAAGAAGGCCUUCGGGUUGUAAAGCUCUUUCAGCCGGAAAGAAAUCGCACUUUUUAAUACGGAGUGUGGAUGACGGUACCGGAAGAAGAAGCACCGGCUAACUACGUGCCAGCAGCCGCGGUAAUACGUAGGGUGCGAGCGUUAAUCGGAAUUACUGGGCGUAAAGCGUGCGCAGGCGGUUUGAUAAGCCAGAUGUGAAAUCCCCGGGCUUAACCUGGGAACUGCAUUUGGAACUGUCAGACUAGAGUGUAGCAGAGGGGGGUAGAAUUCCACGUGUAGCAGUGAAAUGCGUAGAUAUGUGGAGGAAUACCAAUGGCGAAGGCAGCCCCCUGGGUUAACACUGACGCUCAUGCACGAAAGCGUGGGGGAGCAAACAGGAUUAGAUACCCUGGUAGUCCACGCCCUAAAACGAUGUCAACUAGUUGUGGGGGGAG
Molecule: ribosomal RNA, 776 nt
Filed under: uncultured bacterium
Lineage: Bacteria
Description: bacterial SSU rRNA
Rfam family: Bacterial small subunit ribosomal RNA
Source: RNAcentral